This 447-nucleotide ribosomal RNA is filed under the name uncultured bacterium. RNAcentral describes it as "bacterial SSU rRNA". It matches the Rfam family "Bacterial small subunit ribosomal RNA", at positions 355 to 825 of the family's 1533-position model. The record is from RNAcentral.
UCGGGAAUUUUGGGCAAUGGGCGAAAGCCUGACCCAGCAACGCCGCGUGAAGGAUGAAGUAUUUCGGUAUGUAAACUUCGAAAGAAUAGGAAGAAUAAAUGACGGUACUAUUUAUAAGGUCCGGCUAACUACGUGCCAGCAGCCGCGGUAAUACAGAGGCCACGAACGUUGUUCGGAAUCACUGGGCAUAAAGCGCACGUAGGCGGCUAGGUCCGUCCGAUGUGAAAGCCCCCGGCUCAACCGGGGAAUUGCAUCGGAUACAGCCUGGCUUGAGGACGGUUGGGGUGAGUGGAACUCCUGGUGGAGCGGUGAAAUGCGUAGAUAUCAGGAGGAACACCGGUGGCGAAAGCGGCUCACUGGACCGUUACUGACGCUGAGGUGCGAAAGCUAGGGGAGCAAACGGGAUUAGAUACCCUUGUAGUCCCUGAGCGGGCUGGCAAGGCGCAU